This is a long non-coding RNA of Sinocyclocheilus grahami, 123 nucleotides long. RefSeq lists it as uncharacterized. Lineage: Eukaryota; Metazoa; Chordata; Actinopteri; Cypriniformes; Cyprinidae. The transcript has 3 exons. The record is from RefSeq and is a predicted model, not a curated record.
AAGUCACAGAAUUUCAUGCCCAUGGAAUGAAGGGAACACUUUUAAAAAAUAAAGGAAAAUUCAAAUGGGGUCAGCUGGACCCCAGGGACCGAUUAAGGGUUAAGUACUAUAUUUUGUAAAUUU